This 1654-nucleotide long non-coding RNA is filed under the name Marmota monax (woodchuck). The record is from RNAcentral. Lineage: Eukaryota; Metazoa; Chordata; Mammalia; Rodentia; Sciuridae.
AAAAAGAGUACUAUAGCCAAAGUUGCACUAUGCACUGCCACAGCUAUGAAGCACAGUGGAAUAAUUGCUAUAAAAGAGAACAUGAAGGCCAAUUCUUCAUUCUGCAGCUGAGGAGAUGAGCCCCUCAAAUCAAGAUUUAGUUCAGAUCACUGCAAACAUGAGACUUGGAAUGAAAAUCUACUCUGGCUCCCAAAUGACCUAAGUAUUUGCCUAAAACUCCACCUGCCUUUGGUUUCUUUCAGUCAUUAUUGGCUGACGGUAGUGCUAUUAGGUAAUCUCCCUCUCACAUUCAUGUUCUUUCACAGUUUUUCUUUUGCCUCAUUAGCAAUUGUUGCAUUUCCAGGUUUUUUGGCUCCUGCUGUGGUUUUAUUUGAACUUCAGCUUCAGUGAAUCAUUAAAGCAGUUCUUUGAUCUGCCCUUCUUGCCUUACCUGAAUUUGGCACAAAGAGAAGUUUUAUGUCUUUUACUAUGGAUUAUUUUGAACUUUUCCCAGGCUUCCAAUCUACUUAUUACAAGUAAAACCAACACAGUGAAAAUUCCUAUCUAUGAUAAAAGGAAUACUUGUAACUCUGGUUCAGUGUUAAACCAAUGUCUACUCUCCAUAUAUAUGCACCACCUGAAACCACUCCAAUAUCUUAUAAAAGUGAAAUCUCAUAUAUUUAGAGGAAGAAGCAUUUCUGUAUUUUCUCUAAGAUCAGGCAUAAGUGACAAGGUUGUCACACUUUUCUCAAAGGAAUUCCUCCAUUUCUUAGUUAUCAUAAUUAAUAUUGGCUACAUUACACAAAAAUAUGUUCCCCCAUUAUGAAUUAUUCUAGAAUGUAAAAGGUAGUUUUGUGUACCAUUGAAAAACAAAUAUGGUAAAAACAAUUCUUUCUUUUUCCCCCCAAAGAACAAUAUAAAAUAGUCCUUCUCAACCAUAUUAGUUCUGUGUCCAGUUUCCAAUUGGAUUUGUCACUUUAUUGAAUGAUUACUUGAAUUCUCAGUUCGUGCAAAGUGAAAAAAAAAAAAAAGAGGGAGAGAGGCAAAAAAUCGGGGGAUCAAUAAGGUUUAUAAAACUGUAAAGUGCUAGCAAACACCAACACUUUAGUACUUAACACAACAGAAAAUUAUUUAAUGCUGAAACUCUGGUUGCCACUGGGGAGAAAGUACAUCUAAGCAGAGGGUCAACAAUCUUUGAUCUCCUGCUACCACCAUUUUAAUCCACAAUUUCAUUAUUUGCAUGGCAGAUAAAGGGACAAAUGGGAUUAAAUGUUUUUGGAACAUUCCACUUCCCUUCAUAACCCACUGGUACAAUUUAUUAUAUGUUUAGCAACAGGGGAACUAGGAAAAUACAGGUCUUUCAUACCUGACAGGUAAGGAGAACUGAAUAUAGAAUAUAAUGAUUAAUCCUGAUUACAUAAGAAAAUGGUGAUUGAAAAUAUUGGAGCAAAAUCACAAAUCCAUAAAUGAAAGCACAUAAUAUAUUCUUAAAUUUUGUUCUAAAACAUAUACUGCCAAUAAUAUCUGAUAUGACAAUUCCUUACAUGUCUUUGAAUCAUAUUUACUACUUCUCUUUUGAGGAGGACAUUAUCAUUAUGGCUUCCUAAGAGAAUGGUGAGUGUGGGAUAAUAUAAUGACCCAUUAAUAAGUAUACAAAUAUGGGUGUUGAAAAGUG